This 390-nucleotide ribosomal RNA is filed under the name uncultured bacterium. Its description in RNAcentral is "bacterial SSU rRNA". It matches the Rfam family "Bacterial small subunit ribosomal RNA", at positions 28 to 417 of the family's 1533-position model. The record is from RNAcentral.
GACGAACGCUGGCGGCGUGCUUAACACAUGCAAGUCGAGCGGUAAGGCCCUUUCGGGGGUACGACGAGCGGCGAACGGGUGAGUAACACGUGGGUGACCUGCCCUCAGCUCUGGGAUAAGCCUGGGAAACGUGGGUCUAAUACCGGAUAUGACUCCAUGACGCAUGUUGUGGGGUGGAAAGCCUUGUGCGGCUGGGGAUGGGCCCGCGGCCUAUCAGCUUGUUGGUGGGGUGAUGGCCUACCAAGGCGACGACAGGUAGCCGGCCUGAGAGGGCGACCGGCCACACUGGGACUGAGACACGGCCCAGACUCCUACGGGAGGCAGCAGUGGGGAAUCUUGCGCAAUGGGCGAAAGCCUGACGCAGCGACGCCGCGUGAGGGAUGACGGCCU